This 148-nucleotide non-coding RNA is filed under the name Nomascus leucogenys (northern white-cheeked gibbon). The record is from Rfam by way of RNAcentral. Lineage: Eukaryota; Metazoa; Chordata; Mammalia; Primates; Hylobatidae.
GCUGGGCAUGAUGGCACAUGCCUGUAAUCCCAGCUACUUGGGAGGCUGAGGCAGGAGAAUCGCUUGAACCUGGGAGGUGGAGGUUGCAGUGAGCUGAGAUCACGCCACUUCACUGCAGCCUGGGUGACAGAGCGAGACUCUGUCUCAA